GACGAAGGGGGCAAGCGUUGUUCGGAAUUACUGGGCGUAAAGGGCGCGUAGGCGGCCAUUCAAGUCAGCCGUGAAAGGCCUGGGCUCAACCUGGGAAUUGCGGUUGGGACUGAGUGGCUAGAGAGCGGGAGAGGAUGGUGGAAUUCCCAGUGUAGAGGUGAAAUUCGUAGAUAUUGGGAAGAACACCGGUGGCGAAGGCGGCCAUCUGGACCGUAUCUGACGCUGAGGCGCGAAAGCGUGGGGAGCAAACAGGAUUAGAUACCCCCGUAGUCC
This 273-nucleotide ribosomal RNA is filed under the name uncultured bacterium. RNAcentral describes it as "partial 16S ribosomal RNA". It matches the Rfam family "Bacterial small subunit ribosomal RNA", at positions 524 to 796 of the family's 1533-position model. The record is from RNAcentral.